Molecule: ribosomal RNA, 800 nt
Filed under: uncultured Glomus
Lineage: Eukaryota; Fungi; Glomeromycota; Glomeromycetes; Glomerales; Glomeraceae
Description: SSU rRNA
Rfam family: Eukaryotic small subunit ribosomal RNA
Source: RNAcentral
AUCAACUUUCGAUGGUAGGGAUAGAGGCCUACCAUGGUGGUAACGAGUAACGGGGUGUUAGGGCACGACACCGGAGAGGGAGCNUGAGAAACGGCUACCACAUCCAAGGAUGGCAGCAGGCGCGCAAAUUACCCAAUCCCGACACGGGGAGGUAGUGACAAUAAAUAACAAUACGGGGUUCUUUCGGAUCUCGUAAUUGGAAUGAGUACAAUUUAAAUCUCUUAACGAGGAACAAUUGGAGGGCAAGUCUGGUGCCAGCAGCCGCGGUAAUUCCAGCUCCAAUAGCGUAUAUUAAAGUUGUUGCAGUUAAAAAGCUCGUAGUUGAAUUUCGGGAUUAGUAGGUUGGUCAUGCCUCUGGUAUGUACUGGUCUCACUGAUUCCUCCUUCCUUAUGAACCGUAAUGCCAUUAAUUUGGUGUUGCGGGGAAUUUGGACCGUUACUUUGAAAAAAUUAGAGUGUUUAAAGCAGGCUAACGCUUGAAUACAUUAGCAUGGAAUAAUGAAAUAGGACGUUCGAUCUUAUUUUGUUGGUUUCUAGGAUUGACGUAAUGAUUAAUAGGGAUAGUUGGGGGCAUUAGUAUUCAAUUGUCAGAGGUGAAAUUCUUGGAUUUAUUGAAGACUAACUACUGCGAAAGCAUUUGCCAAGGAUGUUUUCAUUAAUCAAGAACGAAAGUUAGGGGAUCGAAGACGAUCAGAUACCGUCGUAGUCUUAACCAUAAACUAUGCCGACUAGGGAUCGGAUGAUGUUAAUUUUUUAAUGACUCAUUCGGCGCCUUACGGGAAACCAAAGUGUUUGGGUUC